GACGAACGCUGGCGGCGUGCUUAACACAUGCAAGUCGAACGGAAAGGCCCUGCUUUUGUGGGGUGCUCGAGUGGCGAACGGGUGAGUAACACGUGAGUAACCUGCCCUUGAUUUUGGGAUAACUUCAGGAAACUGGGGCUAAUACCGGAUAGGAGCUCCUGCUGCAUGGUGGGGGUUGGAAAGUUUCGGCGGUUGGGGAUGGACUCGCGGCUUAUCAGCUUGUUGGUGGGGUAGUGGCUUACCAAGGCUUUGACGGGUAGCCGGCCUGAGAGGGUGACCGGCCACAUUGGGACUGAGAUACGGCCCAGACUCCUACGGGAGGCAGCAGUGGGGAAUAUUGCACAAUGGGCGGAGGCCUGAUGCAGCAACGCCGCGUGCGGGAUGACGGCCUUCGGGUUGUAAACCGCUUUCGCCUGUGACGAAGCGUGAGUGACGGUAAUGGGUAAAGAAGCACCGGCUAACUACGUG
This 468-nucleotide ribosomal RNA is filed under the name uncultured bacterium. Its description in RNAcentral is "partial 16S ribosomal RNA". It matches the Rfam family "Bacterial small subunit ribosomal RNA", at positions 28 to 507 of the family's 1533-position model. The record is from RNAcentral.